GGGAAGGUUUCAUCCACACCCAGACAAUGACUAGAGUCUCUCUUGCACUUUUCCCCAACCGUCUAUUAUUUGCAAAGCCCUCAUGGAAGUGCCUUUUUCUACCUUUCUUCCCCUAUAUCCCUAUUCUCUAAUUUUAGCAAGUUAGAAAAGACCGUGGCACGCUGUGGAGGAGGAAGCUGGAAUACUUGUAAAUAACUGGCGGAUGCAAAGAUCCAAUUCAGCUGAAGGGAAAAAGAAGAAUGCAGGGUGCCGCGUGGUCCCUGCAUGGGUGUGCAUUCAGGGUCUGGCGCACAGAGGAGGGGACAACAGCAGAGAGGGCUGACCGGAACAAUGGGCCGUCACAAAUGCCAUGUUAUGUAACUGGGUUAUUUGAAUUCACAAUUGUGAAGGCCACAAUUGUAGGAGAAGGCGUGUCCCCCGGCUCUGUGGUGGGAGGGAAGCAGGCUCCUGUGCUCCCACCCAGGUGCCCUGGGAGCCGGCUCUGACCCUCCUGAUGAGGCCAACAGCUGCCACUCAGGAGAGAAGGGCUGGGUUGCUCCUGGCAUGGCAAAGGUGCCCAGUCACUGUGUGGAGCUGCACUUUUGGAUGGUGGUAACAAAAGCAGGCAAUGAGCGCAUCAGAUACCUUUCCUCAUACAGCAACGGGCCAUUGUGAAUGACCCGGAUAUUUCCAUUCACUGCAUACUCCUUGAGCUCAAGCGGUCUUCUCUGGGGCCUUCUAGAGAGUGCCUUCAGGCAGUAAUUCACACGUUGCACUGCUGGGUCGAAGGACAUGGACAUGAAUUUGCAGAAAUUCAUAGCUUCACAGGGAGUCAAGGAAAGCUGCUUGGGAGAGCUGAGCUUUGCAGGCAGCCUGGCCGUGGCCGUGGUAGAGACACCCAGGAUCACUCUGAAGCCUACUUUCCAUCGUGGUGGCUCGUGUGUAGCGCCUGAUGAACCGGGCAGGAGCAGUGAAAAGACAGGCUGUCCUGGGCCUGCCUCCCAGUUUCACGUGAGCGCCCUGUUUGUAAGCCCUGAGCUGUGGCGACUGCGACGCCCAAGAGUGCCAGGGUCGCCUUCCCCACCCCCUCAUCCUUGACCAUCCAGCUCCUCAAACCCAGCUGGGAUCUCCCUGCCUCUGUAACGCCCUCUUCAGGGUCCCUCCCCUAACCAGUCCCUCUUUGGUUACCAUGCCCUCUUUCCUGGGAUGUUUAUUAGUUCCUGCAGUCACUUCCCCCGCCCCCCUCUCCUGGUCUACUUGCAGACCUGCUCCCUCCCUGGAGUGUGCCCUGCCUGAGGGCCGAGGCCAGAUCUUUCCACUUCUUUGUCUUUCAUGUUCAGCUCUAAGGCGGCUUUAUAAUGUCCGAGUAAUAAGAGUCUUUUUCCUGGAUUCUGGGUGGUUGUAAAGAAGCUUCAGAAUCAGUAAGCUCACUUGGCGGCAGGUACAGGCUGAGUCCUCUCUUCCUUGCACUUGCGGUUGUGUUGCUGUUGUGUAUUUAAGCUGGACGUGCAGUCAGAGGCUUGGCUCUCAGUCUUCAGCGAUUCCACCUGUCUGGGCAGGUUCUGUUGGAGGUGAUUUGCAAUUCUUAUUGGAGAGCUUUCCAGGCAGGAAGGGCCAUGGGAACAAAUGCCUCAGGGAUUUGCUCACUCACUGGUGUCCUCAGGUAGAAAUAGAGGGAUGAUGUUGAUGAUGAUGACGAUGUUCGUGAUGAUUCUGGUGAUGAUGUCGAUAACUUGAAUGGGUGUUUCUGCAGUGCUUAAGAACUUUUCAUUUCUUUCCAUGCUCACACUACAGAAGAUAAGCAGAGGUGGGGCUUCCUGGGCUCCUUUAGAGUUAAGUUGAUGACAACAUCCUGCUGCCAGGCCUUCAAUUUCUCUUUCUGCUGCCGUGACCUUGGAGGCAACUGCUCUACAUGCACAGAGACAAGAUGCAGGGGAGCCAUCCACUCCCCAUCAGACUUUUUGUGCCUGAGAAAUAAACUUUAUUUGUGUUAUGCUGGGA
Orcinus orca (killer whale) is the source of this 1980-nucleotide long non-coding RNA. RefSeq lists it as uncharacterized. Lineage: Eukaryota; Metazoa; Chordata; Mammalia; Artiodactyla; Delphinidae. The transcript is spliced from 2 exons. The record is from RefSeq and is a predicted model, not a curated record.